This 477-nucleotide long non-coding RNA is filed under the name Physcomitrium patens. RNAcentral's name for it is "long non-coding RNA (PPAT_LNC003912)". Lineage: Eukaryota; Viridiplantae; Streptophyta; Bryopsida; Funariales; Funariaceae. The record is from RNAcentral.
UCUCAAUGAAGUCCUAAUUUUAAUCUUAAUUGAAAUUCUAAUGAAUUUCAAUUAAAUCCUAGGUCAAAUCUUAAAUUCUAAACAAAUCUUAAAUCUUAAAUCAAACCUUAAAUAAAUCCUAAAUUCUAAAUCAAAUCCUAAACAAACCUUAAAUUCUAUAUCAAAUCUUAGAAAAAUCCUAAAUCUUAAAUCAAAUCCUAGAAAAAUCCUAAAUCUUAUAUUAAAUCCUAAAUAAAUCCUAAAUCCUAGAAAAAACCUAAACCUUGAAUCAAACCCUAAAUAAAUUCUAAAUCCUAAAUCAAAUCUUAGACAAAUCCUAAAUCCUAAACCAAAUCCUACUCAAAUACUAAAUCUUAAAUCAAAUCUUAAAUAAAUUCUAAAUCAUAAAUCAAAUCCUAAACAAACCUUGAAUCCUAAACCAAAUCCUAAACAAAUCCUAAAUCUUAAAUCAAAUCCUAAAGCAAAUUAGAACCCAAA